UCAUCUUCAUCAUCAUCAUCAUCAUCACCAUCACCACCAUCACCAUCACCAGAUGGCCUGCCAAUUCGUCUAAGUGAAGUGGAGUAGUAUCACGCACUGAUUUUAACACUAUAGAAGUGCUUAGACGUCAGAAUAUAUCACCCCUCUCUCUAAGGCCUUCCCGACAUCACCAAGACAGAAGAUGUACAAAACAGGCCACUUACCCAUAGACUGUCGUCGAGGGAGCACGCGUCCUCUCGCUUGCUGAACCACAGGCCCUUGGUCCUUAACACCCUCCAUUAUGAGAUAACCAGCCGGGCCAAUAGAGAGAGAGAGAGAGAGGGGAGGAGCGAAGAGGGAGAAGGGGGGUGUAAAGGCAAGAAGAGGAAGGAGGUGAGAGAGGGUCUGUGAGAGGCAGAUGCUGGAAUCAUUUUACAAUG
RNAcentral lists this long non-coding RNA (419 nucleotides) under Penaeus japonicus. Its description in RNAcentral is "uncharacterized LOC122254267". Lineage: Eukaryota; Metazoa; Arthropoda; Malacostraca; Decapoda; Penaeidae. The record is from RNAcentral.